GCGGGGUUGCCCUAGCCUGGUAGGGGGCAGGCCUGCUAAGCCUGUGGUCCUUUGGGCCGCGCGGGUUCAAAUCCCGCACCCCGCGCCA
RNAcentral lists this transfer RNA (88 nucleotides) under Candidatus Bathyarchaeota archaeon. RNAcentral describes it as "tRNA-Ser". It matches the Rfam family "tRNA". From Rfam's summary of the family: Transfer RNA (tRNA) molecules are approximately 80 nucleotides in length. Their secondary structure includes four short double-helical elements and three loops (D, anti-codon, and T loops). The record is from RNAcentral. RNAcentral also lists the same sequence under 5 other names. Lineage: Archaea; Thermoproteati; Candidatus Bathyarchaeota.